RNAcentral lists this ribosomal RNA (468 nucleotides) under uncultured bacterium. Its description in RNAcentral is "partial 16S ribosomal RNA". It matches the Rfam family "Bacterial small subunit ribosomal RNA", at positions 28 to 507 of the family's 1533-position model. The record is from RNAcentral.
GAUGAACGCUGGCGGCGUGCUUAACACAUGCAAGUCGAACGGUGAAGCUCAAGCUUGCUUGAGUGGACCAGUGGCGAACGGGUGAGUAACACGUGAGCAACCUGCCCCUCACUUCGGGAUAAGCCUUGGAAACGGCGUCUAAUACUGGAUACGAGAAGGGUCCGCAUGCGCUCUUUGAGGGAAGUUUUUCGGUUGGGGAUGGGCUCGCGGCCUAUCAGCUUGUUGGUGAGGUUAUGCUUCACCAAGGUCACGACGGAUACGCGGCCUGAGAGGGCUACCGGACACACGGGGACAGAGACAGGGCCCAGACUCCUACGGGAGGCAGCAGGGGAGAAUAGCACAAAAUGGGCGAGAGUGAGAUAGAGAGACGGCGCGUGAGGGAUGACGGCCUUCGGGGUAUAAACCUCUUUCAGCAGGGAAGAAGUGAAAGUGACGGUACCUGCAGAAGAAGCACCGGCUAACUACGUG